UGAAUACGAGAUGCUACGGCGUCGAAGCAGUCUAUGUCAUACUUCCAAGAAAAGCUUGCACUGUCAUAAACAAAUAAUGCCUGUACCAUAACCGACACAGGUGGGUAGGUAGAGUAUACUAAGGGGCGCGAGAUAACUCUCUCUAAGGAACUCGGCAAAAUGACUCCGUAACUUCGGGAGAAGGAGUGCCUUAUUUUAUAAGGUUGCAAUAACAAGAUCCAAGCAACUGUUUACCAAAAACACAGGUCUCCGCUAAGUCGUAAGACGAUGUAUGGGGGCUGACGCCUGCCCAGUGCCAGAAGGUUAAAGAAGUUGGUUAGCAUCCGCGAAGCUGAUAACUGAAGCCCUGGUGAAUGGCGGCCGUAACAAUAACGGUCCUAAGGUAGCGAAAUUCCUUGUCGGGUAAGUUCCGACCCGCACGAAAGGCGUAAUGAUUUGGAUACUGUCUCAGAGAGGGGCUCGGUGAAAUAGACUUGUCUGUGAAGAUGCGGACUACCUGCACCAGGACAGAAAGACCCUAUGAAGCUUUACUGUAACUUGAAAUUGAAAUUGGACUUUACUUGCGCAGUAUAGGUGGGAGGCGUUGAGAAUAUUCUUGCGGGAAUGUUGGAGCCAUCAGUGAGAUACCACUCUGGUAAUGUUAGAUUUCUAACUUUGUAUCAUUAUCUGGUCAAAGGACAGUUUCAGGCGGGCAGUUUGACUGGGGCGGUCGCCUCCCAAACGGUAACGGAGGCGCACAAAGGUUUCCUCUGAACGGGUAGAAAUCGUAUCUAGAGUGUAAAGGCAUAAGGAAGCUUGACUGUGAGACCUACAAGUCGAGCAGGGACGAAAGUCGGUCUUAGUGAUCUGACGGUGCUGAGUGGAAAGGCCGUCACUCAACGGAUAAAAGUUACUCUAGGAUAACAGGCUGAUCUCCCCCAAGAGUUCACAUCGACGGGGAGGUUUGGCACCUUGAUGUCGGCUCAUCGCAUCCUGGGGCGGUAGUACGCCCCAAGGGUUGGGCUGUUCGCCCAUGAAAGCGGUACGCGAGCUGGGUUCAGAACGUCGUGAGACAGUUCGGUCCAUAUCCGGUGUAGGCGUUAGAAUAUUGAGAGGAGCCUUCUUUAGUACGAGAGGACCGAGAAGGACAUACCUCUGGUGUACCAGUUAUCGUGCCAACGGUAAACGCUGGGUAGCUAUGUAUGGAGUGGAUAACCGCUGAAAGCAUCUAAGUGGGAAGCCCACCUCAAGAUAAG
This 1235-nucleotide ribosomal RNA is filed under the name metagenome. RNAcentral's name for it is "bacterial LSU rRNA". It matches the Rfam family "Bacterial large subunit ribosomal RNA", at positions 1564 to 2808 of the family's 2925-position model. The record is from RNAcentral.